GCCGAGGUGGUGAAACUGGUAGACGCAGCGGACUCAAAAUCCGCCGGUUCUUGGAACCAUGGGGGUUCGAUUCCCCCCCUCGGCA
This 85-nucleotide transfer RNA is filed under the name Fidelibacterota bacterium. RNAcentral's name for it is "tRNA-Leu". It matches the Rfam family "tRNA". Rfam says of the family: Transfer RNA (tRNA) molecules are approximately 80 nucleotides in length. Their secondary structure includes four short double-helical elements and three loops (D, anti-codon, and T loops). Further hydrogen bonds mediate the characteristic L-shaped molecular structure. tRNAs have two regions of fundamental functional importance: the anti-codon, which is responsible for specific mRNA codon recognition, and the 3' end, to which the tRNAs corresponding amino acid is attached (by aminoacyl-tRNA synthetases). tRNAs cope with the degeneracy of the genetic code in two manners: having more than one tRNA (with a specific anti-codon) for a particular amino acid; and 'wobble' base-pairing, i.e. permitting non-standard base-pairing at the 3rd anti-codon position. The record is from RNAcentral. Lineage: Bacteria; Pseudomonadati; Fidelibacterota. RNAcentral also lists the same sequence under 1 other name.